Molecule: unclassified non-coding RNA, 318 nt
Filed under: uncultured fungus
Lineage: Eukaryota; Fungi
Description: partial contains 5.8S ribosomal RNA, internal transcribed spacer 2, and large subunit ribosomal RNA
Source: RNAcentral
AACGCACCUUGCGCUCCUUGGUAUUCCUUGGAGCAUGCCUGUUUGAGUAUCAUGAAAUUAUCAAAGCGAAUCUUUCGUUAGCUCGACGGACUUUGCUUUGGACUUGGAGGUCUGCAGAUUCACGUCUGCUCCUCUUAAACGCAUUAGCUGGAUCUCGGUAAGCUUGGUUCCACUCGGCGUGAUAAGCAUCUAUCGCUGAGGACACCCGUAAAACAGGUGGCCAGGAGUACGGACGAACCGCUUCCAACGGUCUAUUAGCUUAGACAAUAAAUUUUACGAUCUGAUCUCAAAUCAGGUAGGACUACCCGCUGAACUUAA